This 1740-nucleotide ribosomal RNA is filed under the name Triticum aestivum (bread wheat). RNAcentral describes it as "partial small subunit ribosomal RNA". Lineage: Eukaryota; Viridiplantae; Streptophyta; Magnoliopsida; Poales; Poaceae. The record is from RNAcentral.
AUGGCGGCUAUGGGUGGGGACGAAAGGCAGAGGAUGGAGGCUCCGGCAGGGGACAAGUUCCCCGAGGGGCUGCGCGUGCUCGCUGUGGACGACGACUCUGUCUGCCUCAAGGUACUGGAGGUCGUUCUGCGCCGCUGCAAAUACAACCCAACGACCGUGACGGACGCGAAGACGGCGUUGAAGAUGCUGAGGGCGGGGAAGGCACAGUUCGACCUGGUGAUCACCGACGUGCACAUGCCAGGCAUGGACGGCUUCAAGCUCCUUGAGCUCAUCCACCUUGAGAUGGAUCUGCCCGUCAUCAUGCUAUCUGUGGAUUGUGACAAGAAGGCUGUGAUGAAGGGCAUAACACAUGGAGCGUGCGACUAUUUGGUGAAGCCAGUGUGCACCAACGAGCUAAAAAAUAUAUGGCAACAUGUUGAAAGGAGGAGAAAUUUUGAAGCAAAAACACACAUCAACAACAACAACAACAACAAUGAUCAUGAUGAUGAUAGAGUGCAGCCAAGGACUGCUGCCACGAGCAAGGACUCGGGGAAUAAGGGCAAUGAAGGAUAUGAUUCUAACGAGAACCAAGAGAUCACACACGUAUCCACCACCUGGAAGAAGCCAAGGGUGGUAUGGACAACUGAGCUUCAGAACAAAUUUCUAGAAGCUAUUGACCAGAUCGGCCUAGACAAGGCCGUUCCAAAAAAGAUAUUGGAACUAAUGAAAGUGGAUUACCUCACCAGAGACAGUAUCGCAAGUCAUCUACAGAAGUAUAGGUUGCACUUGAGAAGAGUCAAACCAAAUCCAGUUGGUGAUGCCUCUGAAAGACAUAACUCAUCCUACAACAACAUGAACAACCAGGGGAGUUUCAUGCGUAACCAUGAACAUGAAAUAUGGUGUAUGUCCUCUGGUCUUUUAAGUCCAAACAAUUUUUCUGCAAUGGGUCACUUAGCUCAGCCGGCGAACACACAAAGAAACUCGUGCAUGGGGUCAUUCAUCCAUGAUGGUAGAAUGUACAAGUAUGUCGCACCAAAACUGUCGGAUGCGGGAACAUUCGCUGGCUCCAUUGACCCUCCUGCCAACCUAUACAACAACAUACCCAAUGAAACAACUUUAGAUGAAUUUCCUUCAUAUAGUUUUGGCGAUUCCUAUGCUGGCUGCAUGCGUGGUAAGCUGGUGGAGACAAACAAAGGCAAGUUUCCAGACCCUUCAUACAAUUCUGCAACACAUGCGACAUUGACUGGUGUUCUUCAUAGAGGCUUCAAUGAGCAGAUUGUUCCAAAAAAUGCACCUAGCAACCAAAGCUUCGUAGGGAUGUUGAAUGCCUGCGGCAGUCGUCCAGUGUCAUCAUCUGAGAUGGUUAAGGGAGGGAGCAGCAGUAUAUCAGUAGAUGGCUUCAGUGAGCGGAUGGCACCAUUCAACAUAGCAAAAAACACAAGCUCAGUCGGAAUGAUGUUGAAUGAAAACACCGCACCUGGUAAUGGUAGAAUCUCAAUGACACAUACAGAUAUGGCUAAUAGUGGAAGAACUAUUUCUACACUUUCCAACCAUCAGACAGAAAAUGUUGUAGCAAUAACUGACAAGCUUGAUGGCGGGGAUGCAGUUAGCAAUCACCCUAUGCAAGUGGGUACUAUUGGUCAGCAUGCACUUAAUGAUCAAUUUAAUGACAUCAAGGACUUCUCAUGGGAUGAUCUUUUUCUCAACCCGCUGGAUGCAGAUUUCACUAUCGAGGAUGAUUUCAUGGGUGGAGAAGAAUAG